RNAcentral lists this unclassified non-coding RNA (525 nucleotides) under Yarrowia lipolytica. The record is from RNAcentral. Lineage: Eukaryota; Fungi; Ascomycota; Dipodascomycetes; Dipodascales.
AAUUUGUUUUGACCGUGCCCCAAUCGGGUCUGUUGGGACACAGCCCGCCUCAUUGCGUGCUUGAGAGAAUAACGUGAUUGGGCAUCGUAUCAAGAUCAUACAAGACCUUCUCAAGUCAGAUGAUGGCAACAUGUUACAGACCAUACCCUGUCAGACAAACAUGGAGCCCCUGAUGCUAUACAGUGCCCAUCUACUGUUAAUAUCCAGCAAAUGCGUGCUACAGUAGAGGCAGAAGCUCUCACUCUUCCAAGUCGGGAAAUGAAGCAUCGUACCUAAAUUGUGAGCCAGAUGAUCAAUGGAGCCUAAGAGCCGUAUUAUGAGUACAUACUCGUACAAUGUACCUGAGCUGGAGGAUUCUGCUAGGAAGCUGAACGAGUGGGCACUGUCUAUACCUUGAGUUUGAUAUCACGGUGGUGAAUUCCAGUCAUUAGACUGUCGCCGUAAACAGACCAGCUUGAAAGACACAACAGGCAACCAACCACACAUGGAGUGGUUAUACUAGUACAUAGGGCAAGAUGAGUGUUA